This 665-nucleotide ribosomal RNA is filed under the name uncultured bacterium. RNAcentral describes it as "bacterial SSU rRNA". It matches the Rfam family "Bacterial small subunit ribosomal RNA", at positions 68 to 728 of the family's 1533-position model. The record is from RNAcentral.
GGCAGCACGGGAGCAAUCCUGGUGGCGAGUGGCGAACGGGUGAGUAAUGUAUCGGAACGUGCCCGGUCGUGGGGGAUAACGCAGCGAAAGCUGUGCUAAUACCGCAUACGAUCUAUGGAUGAAAGCGGGGGAUCGCAAGACCUCGCGCGAUUGGAGCGGCCGAUAUCAGAUUAGCUAGUUGGUGGGGUAAAGGCUCACCAAGGCGACGAUCUGUAGCUGGUCUGAGAGGACGACCAGCCACACUGGAACUGAGACACGGUCCAGACUCCUACGGGAGGCAGCAGUGGGGAAUUUUGGACAAUGGGCGCAAGCCUGAUCCAGCAAUGCCGCGUGCAGGAUGAGGGCCUUCGGGUUGUAAACUGCUUUUGUACGGAGCGAAACGGUCUGCCAUAAUACGGUGGGCUAAUGACGGUACCGUAAGAAUAAGCACCGGCUAACUACGUGCCAGCAGCCGCGGUAAUACGUAGGGUGCAAGCGUUAAUCGGAAUUACUGGGCGUAAAGCGUGCGCAGGCGGUUAUGUAAGACAGAUGUGAAAUCCCCGGGCUCAACCUGGGACCUGCAUUUGUGACUGCAUAGCUAGAGUACGGUAGAGGGGGAUGGAAUUCCGCGUGUAGCAGUGAAAUGCGUAGAUAUGCGGAGGAACACCGAUGGCGAAGGCAAUCCC